Nannospalax galili (Upper Galilee mountains blind mole rat) is the source of this 107-nucleotide small nuclear RNA. The record is from Ensembl. Lineage: Eukaryota; Metazoa; Chordata; Mammalia; Rodentia; Spalacidae.
AUGCUGGCUUCAGGAGCACAUAUACUAAAAUUGGAAUGAUACAGAGAUUAGCAUGGCUCCGUUGCACAAGGAUGACAGGACAGUUCCAGAAAGCAUUCCAUGUGUUU